This 167-nucleotide ribosomal RNA is filed under the name uncultured bacterium. RNAcentral describes it as "partial 16S rRNA". It matches the Rfam family "Bacterial small subunit ribosomal RNA", at positions 352 to 511 of the family's 1533-position model. The record is from RNAcentral.
CAGUAGGGAAUCUUCCACAAUGGACGCAAGUCUGAUGGAGCAACGCCGCGUGAGUGAAGAAGGUCUUCGGAUCGUAAAACUCUGUUGUUAGAGAAGAACACGAGUGAGAGUAACUGUUCAUUCGAUGACGGUAUCUAACCAGCAAGUCACGGCUAACUACGUACCAG